AGUGAACGCUGGCGGUAGGCCUAACACAUGCAAGUCGAACGGCAGCACAGUAAGAGCUUGCUCCUACGGGUGGCGAGUGGCGGACGGGUGAGGAAUACAUCGGAAUCUACUUUUUCGUGGGGGAUAACGUAGGGAAACUUACGCUAAUACCGCAUACGACCUACGGGAGAAAGCAGGGGAUCUUCGGACCUUGCGCGACUGAAUGAGCCGAUGUCGGAUUAGCUAGUUGGCGGGGUAAAGGCCCACCAAGGCGACGAUGCGUAGCUGGUCUGAGAGGAUGAUCAGCCACACUGGAACUGAGACACGGUCCAGACUCCUACGGGAGGCAGCAGUGGGGAAUAUUGGACAAUGGGCGCAAGCCUGAUCCAGCCAUGCCGCGUGGGUGAAGAAGGCCUUCGGGUUGUAAAGCCCUUUUGUUGGGAAAGAAAAGCGGCAGGUUAAUACCCCGCUGUUCUGACGGUACCCAAAGAGUAAGCACCGGCUAACUUCGUG
This 492-nucleotide ribosomal RNA is filed under the name uncultured bacterium. Its description in RNAcentral is "partial 16S ribosomal RNA". It matches the Rfam family "Bacterial small subunit ribosomal RNA", at positions 29 to 507 of the family's 1533-position model. The record is from RNAcentral.